RNAcentral lists this ribosomal RNA (504 nucleotides) under uncultured bacterium. RNAcentral describes it as "bacterial SSU rRNA". It matches the Rfam family "Bacterial small subunit ribosomal RNA", at positions 32 to 512 of the family's 1533-position model. The record is from RNAcentral.
AAUCAACGCUGGCGGCGUGCCUAACACAUGCAAGUCGAACGAGAAGGUGACUUCGGUCACUGGAUAGUGGCGUCCGGGUGAGUAACACGUAGGUAAUCUACCUUCGGGUGGGGAAUAACGUCUCGAAAGAGACGCUAAUACCGCAUAAUGCAGCGGCACCUAAUGGUGAUUAGUUGUUAAAGCGGGGGAUCUUCGGACCUCGCGCCUGAAGAGGAGCCUGCGGCAGAUUAGCUAGUUGGUGAGGUAAUGGCUCACCAAGGCUUCGAUCUGUAGCUGGUCUGAGAGGACGGCCAGCCACACUGGCACUGACACACGGGCCAGACUCCUACGGGAGGCAGCAGUGGGGAAUUUUGGGCAAUGGGCGAAAGCCUGACCCAGCAACGCCGCGUGAAGGAGGAAAUCCUUCGGGAUGUAAACUUCAUAAGUAAGGGAAGAAAGCUGCGGAUCGAAUAAGUCCGCAGUCCGACGGUACCUUACGUAAGCCACGGCUAACUACGUGCCAGC